Molecule: long non-coding RNA, 425 nt
Filed under: Salvia miltiorrhiza (redroot sage)
Lineage: Eukaryota; Viridiplantae; Streptophyta; Magnoliopsida; Lamiales; Lamiaceae
Description: long non-coding RNA (SMIL_LNC007433)
Source: RNAcentral
UCUAAAGCUGCUCGGAAUACACACACAUUACAUGUGCAAUAAUCUGUUUAGAAAUUCAUAAUAGAAUUUGGUGUUGCGAAAUAAAAAUCUCUCUUGUUAGAAUAUAAUAACAAAAUUUAAAGUGCGAAAUACGAGCUUUUUUUUAGAGUUGCAGAAAUCCGAUCUGAUUGGCAACAACAGAGAUCGAUCAUGAGUUAUUACAAUCAGAAUAAUCAACCGCCACCCGUCGGCGUUCCUUCUCCUCAAGGCAUGCAUUCAAACUCUCCUCUUCAAUUUCAUGCAUAUUUAUAUAUGAUCCGAUCCAUCGCAUUAUUAAUUUUAUUUGGCCUUGAUCUAAUGUUACAGGAUAUCCUCCGCGCCGCCGGAGGGAUAUCCGAAGGAGGGUUAUCCGCCGCAGGGGUACCCGCCCCCAGGUUACCCACCCC